This 439-nucleotide ribosomal RNA is filed under the name uncultured bacterium. RNAcentral describes it as "partial 16S ribosomal RNA". It matches the Rfam family "Bacterial small subunit ribosomal RNA", at positions 339 to 795 of the family's 1533-position model. The record is from RNAcentral.
CUACGGGGUGCACCAGUGGGGAAUAUUGCACAAUGGAGGAAACUCUGAUGCAGCAACGCCGCGUGGAGGAUGAAACUUUUCGGAGCGUAAACUCCUUUUAUAGAGGAAGAAGAUGACGGUACUAUAUGAAUAAGCGCCGGCUAACUCCGUGCCAGCAGCCGCGGUAAUACGGAGGGCGCAAGCGUUACUCGGAAUCACUGGGCGUAAAGAGCGUGUAGGCGGAUUAAAAAGUAAGAAGUGAAAUCCUAUAGCUUAACUAUAGAACUGCUUCUGAAACUCUUAAUCUAGAAUAUGGGAGAGGUAGAUGGAAUUUCUGGUGUAGUGGUAAAAUCCGUAGAGAUCAGAAGGAAUACCGAUUGCGAAGGCGACCUACUAGAACAUUAUUGACGCUGAGACGCGAAAGCGUGGGGAGCAAACAGGAUUAGAUACCCCUGUAGUC